Molecule: long non-coding RNA, 204 nt
Filed under: Elaeis guineensis (African oil palm)
Lineage: Eukaryota; Viridiplantae; Streptophyta; Magnoliopsida; Arecales; Arecaceae
Description: long non-coding RNA (EGUI_LNC059531)
Source: RNAcentral
UUGAUUGGGUUGUGAAGAUCGGAGUUCAUCCGCUUUCUUGUGACGUCUGGCGUGCAUGCAAAGUAAAGGAUCUACACAUCCAGGCCUCUUUGAAGGUUUAAUUCAGAUUAUUUAAGAUUUGAUUUCUGAUUCUACUGCUAAUCAGGUAAGAAUUUGAUCCUUAAUUAUGUAGAUUAAUAGAAAAUUUUUAGAUGCAACCUGAGC